RNAcentral lists this ribosomal RNA (518 nucleotides) under Pseudomonas sp. Hugh2772. RNAcentral's name for it is "bacterial SSU rRNA". It matches the Rfam family "Bacterial small subunit ribosomal RNA", at positions 8 to 521 of the family's 1533-position model. The record is from RNAcentral. Lineage: Bacteria; Pseudomonadati; Pseudomonadota; Gammaproteobacteria; Pseudomonadales; Pseudomonadaceae.
AGAGUUUGAUCCUGGCUCAGAUUGAACGCUGGCGGCAGGCCUAACACAUGCAAGUCGAGCGGAUGACGGGAGCUUGCUCCUUGAUUCAGCGGCGGACGGGUGAGUAAUGCCUAGGAAUCUGCCUGGUAGUGGGGGACAACGUUUCGAAAGGAACGCUAAUACCGCAUACGUCCUACGGGAGAAAGCAGGGGACCUUCGGGCCUUGCGCUAUCAGAUGAGCCUAGGUCGGAUUAGCUAGUUGGUGAGGUAAUGGCUCACCAAGGCGACGAUCCGUAACUGGUCUGAGAGGAUGAUCAGUCACACUGGAACUGAGACACGGUCCAGACUCCUACGGGAGGCAGCAGUGGGGAAUAUUGGACAAUGGGCGAAAGCCUGAUCCAGCCAUGCCGCGUGUGUGAAGAAGGUCUUCGGAUUGUAAAGCACUUUAAGUUGGGAGGAAGGGCAGUAAGUUAAUACCUUGCUGUUUUGACGUUACCGACAGAAUAAGCACCGGCUAACUCUGUGCCAGCAGCCGCGGU